This 252-nucleotide ribosomal RNA is filed under the name uncultured bacterium. RNAcentral's name for it is "partial 16S ribosomal RNA". It matches the Rfam family "Bacterial small subunit ribosomal RNA", at positions 524 to 776 of the family's 1533-position model. The record is from RNAcentral.
UACGUAGGGGGCAAGCGUUGUCCGGAUUCAUUGGGCGUAAAGAGCGUGUAGGCGGCCAGGUAGGUCGGUUGUGAAAACUGGAGGCUCAACCUUCAGAGGUCGACCGAAACCAUCUGGCUAGAGUCCGGGAGAGGAGAGUGGAAUUCCUGGUGUAGCGGUGAAAUGCGCAGAUAUCAGGAAGAACACCCGUGGCGAAGGCGGCUCACUGGACCAUUACUGACGCUGAUGCUCGAAGCUAGGGGAGCAAACAGG